This is an RNA transcript of Mus musculus (house mouse), 1397 nucleotides long. It is a transcript of the gene named predicted gene 2619, with no coding region annotated. Lineage: Eukaryota; Metazoa; Chordata; Mammalia; Rodentia; Muridae. The record is from RefSeq and is marked validated. The transcript is spliced from 3 exons.
CCUGCUCUCAGCUGUGGCCCACAGCAAACACACAGAAGCCUGUGCAGACACCAAGGGAUCAGAGCUCACUGUCCCAGGCCCCAGGCAGCUGUGGAAGAUGGAAGGGAGCAAGGGCAGCCCCAGGAUGUCCACUGAACAGGAGAACACAGAGAUGCAUCUCAUUGAAUGUAUGUUAAAGCACUUCAAGACACAGAAAGUGGCCAUUUCUAAUGCGAUAAGAAGUACAUUUCCUUUUCUUGAGAGCCUCCGAGACCGUGAAUUCAUCACUGGUAAAAUGUAUGAAGAUUUGCUAGAUUCCUGUAGAUCGCUGGUCCCUGUGGACAAAGUGAUCUACAGAGCCCUGGAGGAACUGGAGAAGAAAUUUGACAUGACGGUACUGUGCGAAUUGUUCAAUGAGGUCAACAUGGAGAAGUACCCCAAUUUGAAUCUCAUUCGUAGAAGCUUUGAAUGUGGUAUUGGGUUUUAUAUCGCUCCUUGAGAGCACAGUCCUUUUUGUUGUCAACAAAUGUAUAUUAAGCUUUUAUCAUGUGCCAUAUAUCAUGCAGAGCAAUUGAGGAUAUAACAGUUAACAAGACUACUGUGUCAUGAAUCAUAUGAAAACUUAUGACUAAUGGCUGACACCCUCCCGAGCUCUGCCGCUGGGCAUUUAGGCUCUCAGGACAAUAGGAGGCAUACCAUCAUCAGGCUAUGUAGAAGAGGGUAGGAUUAGAAGUGCUGAUUGUCAGUAGGGUAGCACUGUUGUGUCUCUCAGUGGGCAUUCUUACAUGGUGAGAGUGCUCUUGUCUCCCCAGCUAGGGAGGUGAGGGAUGUCUUCUGACUCCCCCUCCCCCCUUUUUUGAGACAGGGUUUCUCUAUGCGACUUUGGCUAUCCUGGAACUCAUUGUAUAGACCAGGCUAGCCUCCAGCUCCAGAUCUGCCUGCCUCUGCCUUCUGAGUGCUGGGACUAAAGGCGUAAGCCACAUGCUCAGGUGAUCCACUUAAAACUCAAAACACACUUCUCAUUAUUCCAGUUUUUCAUCUUGAACUUCAUGUCAUUUAUGAUUAUAAUAAUAAUUAUUAUUGACAGAAUCUUACUCUGUAACCCAACUUAGCUUGUUACUAUAUAGCUGAGCCUAGCCUUAAAUUCGUGCCACUCCUGUCUCAGCUUCCUGUGACUGCCUGGCUGACCAACAGCCUUUCUGAAGGUUGAUUCAUUGCCACCAAGACAAAGUGAGCAGCAAGCUCCUGAUGUUUGAUCUGCAGCUGUGCAGGAGCCUAGCAUUUCUUGCUUCCAAUUUUUUAAAAAAAUGAUCUUGGACUUCUUUAUUUAAAGUCUAAAAAUAGAUCAACUCUCUUCGUCACAUACAUAGUGAAGGCAAAGUUAUCAGGGUUAUAUAUACGUGUAUAUAUACAUCUCU